GACGUAGGAUGCGAGCGUUGUCCGGAUUCAUUGGGCGUAAAGAGUUCGUAGGCGGUUUGUUAAGUCUGAUGUUAAAGAUCGGGGCCCAACCCUGGGAGUGCAUUGGAUACUGGCAGACUGGAGUGCAGUAGAGGCGAGUGGAAUUCCCAGUGUAGCGGUGAAAUGCGUAGAUAUUGGGAAGAACACCGGUGGCGCAGGCGACUCGCUGGGCUGUAACUGACGCUGAGGAACGAAAGCUAGGGGAGCAAAUGGG
This 253-nucleotide ribosomal RNA is filed under the name uncultured bacterium. RNAcentral's name for it is "partial 16S ribosomal RNA". It matches the Rfam family "Bacterial small subunit ribosomal RNA", at positions 524 to 776 of the family's 1533-position model. The record is from RNAcentral.